Molecule: ribosomal RNA, 419 nt
Filed under: bacterium
Lineage: Bacteria
Description: partial 16S ribosomal RNA
Rfam family: Bacterial small subunit ribosomal RNA
Source: RNAcentral
UGGGGGAUAUUGCACAAUGGGCGAAAGCCUUAUACAGCGACGCCGCGUGGGGGAUGAAGGCCUUCGGGUUGUAAACUUCUUUUGCUCUGAACAAGGCGCACCAUGGGGUGUGUUGAGUGUAGGGGUUGAUUAGCGCCGGCUAACUACGUGCCAGCAGCCGCGGUAAUACGUAGGGCGCGAGCGUUGUCCGGAAUUAUUGGGCGUAAAGGGCUUGUAGGUGGCUGGUUGCGUCUGUCGUGAAAGCUCAUGGCUUAACUGUGGGUUUGCGGUGGGUACGGGCUGGCUUGAGUGCAGUAGGGGAGGCUGGAAUUCCUGGUGUAGCGGUGGAAUGCGCAGAUAUCAGGAGGAAUACCGGUGGCGAAGGCGGGUCUCUGGGCUGUUACUGACACUGAGGAGCGAAAGCAUGGGGAGCGAACAGG